This 405-nucleotide ribosomal RNA is filed under the name uncultured bacterium. RNAcentral describes it as "bacterial SSU rRNA". It matches the Rfam family "Bacterial small subunit ribosomal RNA", at positions 355 to 776 of the family's 1533-position model. The record is from RNAcentral.
UGGGGAAUAUUGCACAAUGGGGGAAACCCUGAUGCAGCGACGCCGCGUGAGUGAAGAAGUAUCUCGGUACGUAAAGCUCUAUCGGCAGGGAAGAAGAAGGACGGUACCUGACUAAGAAGCCCCGGCUAACUACGUGCCAGCAGCCGCGGUAAUACGUAGGGGGCAAGCGUUAUCCGGAUUUACUGGGUGUAAAGGGAGCGUAGACGGCGCGGCAAGUCCGAAGUGAAAGCCCGGGGCCCAACCCCGGGACUGCUUUGGAAACUGUCGGGCUGGAGUGCAGGAGAGGUAAGUGGAAUUCCUAGUGUAGCGGUGAAAUGCGUAGAUAUUAGGAGGAACACCAGUGGCGAAGGCGGCUUACUGGACUGUAACUGACGUUGAGGCUCGAAAGCGUGGGGAGCAAACAGG